UACGGGGGGGGCAAGCGUUGUUCGGAAUUACUGGCGUAAAGGGCUCGUAGGCGGCCAACUAAGUCGGAUGUGAAAUCCCCAGGCUCAACUUGGGAACUGCAUCCGAUACUGGAUGGCUUGAAUUCGGGAGAGGGAUGCAGAAUUCCAGGUGUAGCGGUGAAAUGCGUAGAUAUCUGGAGGAAUACCGGUGGCGAAGGCGGCAUCCUGGACCGACAUUGACGCUGAGGAGCGAAAGCUAGGGGGGCAAACGGGG
This 253-nucleotide ribosomal RNA is filed under the name uncultured bacterium. Its description in RNAcentral is "partial 16S ribosomal RNA". It matches the Rfam family "Bacterial small subunit ribosomal RNA", at positions 524 to 777 of the family's 1533-position model. The record is from RNAcentral.